RNAcentral lists this ribosomal RNA (446 nucleotides) under uncultured bacterium. Its description in RNAcentral is "bacterial SSU rRNA". It matches the Rfam family "Bacterial small subunit ribosomal RNA", at positions 355 to 825 of the family's 1533-position model. The record is from RNAcentral.
UGGGGAAUAUUGGACAAUGGGCGAAAGCCUGAUCCAGCCAUGCCGCGUGAGUGACGAAGGCCUUAGGGUUGUAAAACUCUUUCGUCGGGGACGAUAAUGACGGUACCCGAAGAAGAAGCUCCGGCUAACUUCGUGCCAGCAGCCGCGGUAAUACGAAGGGAGCUAGCGUUGUUCGGAAUCACUGGGCGUAAAGCGCACGUAGGCGGAUAGUUAAGUCAGGGGUGAAAUCCUGGGGCUCAACCCCAGAACUGCCUUUGAUACUGGCUGUCUCGAGGUCGAGAGAGGUUGGUGGAAUUCCUAGUGUAGAGGUGAAAUUCGUAGAUAUUAGGAAGAACACCAGUGGCGAAGGCGGCCAACUGGCUCGAUACUGACGCUGAGGUGCGAAAGCGUGGGGAGCAAACAGGAUUAGAUACCCGAGAGUCCCUGAGCGGGCUGGCAAGGCGCAU